CCUCCACCUAUUAUCAACCUGCUGUUAGCCCAGCAAAAUGGUAUCUCUCUCCUUCCCUCCCUCCCUCCCUUCCCACCUUGGUGACCUCAUUUAAGUGGUUUUGAUAAUUGGUGGUACAACUUUCCCUCUUUGAUACCUACAAAUUCUUUAUAACGACUCUUAGUUUGCAAUCCAUUAUGGAACAUAAAUGAACAUACUAGAUGUGAAUCUUUUGUUAUGAUGAAUGAUAAAUGUUUGACUUAAAGCAUAGACUAUCGCAUAUACAAUACAAUAUGUGUACCAUAAAGGAUAAAUUAACCUUUUCUCUACCGGUGAACUGAGAGCUUACAGUGGCUAAUUUGAUAAGAAGCAUAGUACUUGUAUCAUUCAGAAAAUGACCCUUUUGUACUUCAUUUUCAGGGAUAGUCCUAUUGUGCUUUGUUUUUAUAUGAUCUAAAACUACAGAGUUCUUGUGCAGUUCAGAUGUUCUGUUUUGUACGAAUUUUACUAUAUCUGAACUUCUGAAAUUAGUAUAAGUCUAACAGCCUUGCAACCAAACCAAAACUAAAACUGCAGGGAUCUUGUGACAGCCUUGCAACCAAAACUAGAACUACAGGGAUCUUGUGUAGUUGAAAGCUAGCUGUCGUUUGUUGGAAUAUCAAUUAUCUUGUUUGUGCACGAUUAACCUGCUUAUCAUGAAAAGGUAGAAUAUUUUAGGACAGACCAUCAAGUUGGUUGGGAUUUGUUUAGAUCUUUAUGAGAAGCAGCUCUUCUCAGUGGGACUUUUCUUUUUUAUCCAGCCUAAACAUAUUCAGCCUUUCACCUAAAAUGUUAUUACUUUCUCAUGUCCUACUUUUUGUUACACGAUGUUCAAGAAAGAAUUAUGGAUCAUUUUGUCAUGAAGCAUGAUCAGUGCCACCUCUUUCUUCUGUGUAGUGCUAGGCUAGAUUGGUAUUCUGUUUACUGCUCCAGUUGGAUUAUAUCUCAAACUUCUCUUGUUCCUAUGCUGAGAUUCUCCUAGCCAGUGGCAAGGGUACAUACUGCCUCAUCUUCUUUUUUCCUUUACAUUUUUCUUCGAUUGGAAGGAGUGGAUUACUGCCACCAAGUUCUUGGAUAAAAUGAAGAAAGAUAUGUAUGACGUCAUGUCAGUUAUUUUGUUUUACAACAAAAUGGAUAGUUCAUGUAUUCCCUACCGAGCAAGAUUUAUGUUGAGGUGUGGCAUCUAUUUUGCAUUUCUUGAUUAUGGAUUUUUGAUAAUGCGAAGUUUUUAUUCGGAAUGGACGAUGAGUGCUUACUUCUAUUGUUCCCCAAAACACCAUUAAUGAUUUAUCCAGUCCUACACAUUGCAUGCUUGCCACAAGCUUAGAAAAUCUCCAUCUUACUUCGCUAAAUGUUCUUUCUUACCGAACUAGCUUCAGGACGAAUGGCAGGUUUAUUAACCAUUUGAUCAUUUUUGUGCAUUGCAUGUUUGCUGCUAAGUCUCAUGAAGUAGUGUUUUUUUUGCGUGAUCAUCCUGUGGAGCCAUGAUAUUUGAACCAAUGAAUUCAGAGGACAUUUAGUAUGUUUAUGGACCACAUCAUGUUCUGUUGGUACAAGUGAGAUCCUUUUUCCAGUGAUCACUUUAAAGGUACAU
Molecule: long non-coding RNA, 1612 nt
Filed under: Triticum aestivum (bread wheat)
Lineage: Eukaryota; Viridiplantae; Streptophyta; Magnoliopsida; Poales; Poaceae
Description: long non-coding RNA (TAES_LNC010227)
Source: RNAcentral